RNAcentral lists this ribosomal RNA (253 nucleotides) under uncultured bacterium. RNAcentral describes it as "partial 16S ribosomal RNA". It matches the Rfam family "Bacterial small subunit ribosomal RNA", at positions 524 to 776 of the family's 1533-position model. The record is from RNAcentral.
UACGAAGGGUGCAAGAGUUAAUCGUAAUUACUGGGCGUAAAGCGCGCGUGGGUGGUUCAGUAAGUUGGAUGUGCCAUCCCCUGGCUCAACCUGGGAACUGCAUCCAAAACUGCUGAGCUAGAGUACGGUAGAGGGUGGUGGAAUUUCCUGUGUAGCGGUGAAAUGCGUAGAUAUAGGAAGGAACACCAGUGGCGAAGGCGACCACCUGGACUGAUACUGACACUGAGGUGCGAAAGCGUGGGGAGCAAACAGG